AGUAACGCGUGAGGAACCUGCCUCAAAGAGGGGGACAACAGUUGGAAACGACUGCUAAUACCGCAUAAGCCCACAGCUCGGCAUCGAGCAGAGGGAAAAGGAGUGAUCCGCUUUGAGAUGGCCUCGCGUCCGAUUAGCUGGUUGGUGAGGUAACGGCCCACCAAGGCGACGAUCGGUAGCCGGACUGAGAGGUUGAACGGCCACAUUGGGACUGAGACACGGCCCAG
Molecule: ribosomal RNA, 227 nt
Filed under: uncultured bacterium
Lineage: Bacteria
Description: partial 16S ribosomal RNA
Rfam family: Bacterial small subunit ribosomal RNA
Source: RNAcentral